This is a long non-coding RNA of Tachyglossus aculeatus (Australian echidna), 283 nucleotides long. RefSeq lists it as uncharacterized. NCBI's taxonomy places the organism in Eukaryota, Metazoa, Chordata, Mammalia, Monotremata, Tachyglossidae. The record is from RefSeq and is a predicted model, not a curated record. The transcript has 2 exons.
CAUUGGCUAGCCCCGCACAUACAUUAGCCCAUAUAUUGGGCUGCCAGCCUCCUGUCCCCUGGAAUUCGGGGGGCCCUGGACGCUCAGAGCAGGGUCUCGGGGUUUUCUCUGCUUGGGAUGGAGGACACCGAGGCUGCCGUCCGGAUCCCGACGGCCUGAUCCUGAAGACCUUUUCUCUGCCCCCUUUGCUUCCCGCCUCCAGUUUCUCUCUCUCGUCCGCUGCUCUGGGCUCCGUCCCUUCCUUCAGGAUCCUGAUCAAUAAAGACUUUUGUUUCCGUUCUGA